Non-coding RNA from Parelaphostrongylus tenuis, 71 nucleotides. The record is from the annotation of a GenBank genome assembly. Lineage: Eukaryota; Metazoa; Nematoda; Chromadorea; Rhabditida; Metastrongylidae.
ACCCAGGUGGUGUAGUGGUAGCACGAGCCCCUUGGAAAGGUGAAACGAGAGUUGAACUCCUGCCUUGGGUC